This 273-nucleotide unclassified non-coding RNA is filed under the name Hevea brasiliensis (rubber tree). The record is from RNAcentral. Lineage: Eukaryota; Viridiplantae; Streptophyta; Magnoliopsida; Malpighiales; Euphorbiaceae.
GAAAAUGCUAAUACCUAAUUGUCCUUGGCAGGAUCUUAUGAAUCUAAAACAGAUUGGCCUCUGUUAUUCCAAGUAUUUGACUAAAAUUCCUGAUCUGUCACAAGCAAAAAAUGUUGAGAGCAUCAAUCUUGAAGGUUGUAAAAGCUUAGUAGAGCUGCCUUCAUCUAUUCAAUAUCUCCACAAGCUUGAAUACCUUAAUGUCAGACUUUGCAAGAGUCUUCGGCGCCUUCCGAGCAGGAUUGAUUCGAAACUUCUUCGAAUUCUUGAUAUUUC